GAAUUUUGGACAAUGGGCGAAAGCCUGAUCCAGCAAUGCCGCUUGCAGUAUGAAGGCCUUCGGGUUGUAAACUGCUUUUUUACGGAACGAAAAGCUUUGGUUUACUACCCUUGAGUCAUUACGGUACCGUAAGAAUAAGCACCGGCUAACUCCGUGCAGCAGCCGUGGUAAUACGUAGGGGGCAAGCGUGAAUCGGAAUUACUGGGCGUAAAGCGUGCGCAGGCGGGUUUGUAAGACAGAGGUGAAAUCCCCGGGCUCAACCUGGGAACUGCCUUUGUGACUGCAAGGCUAGAGUACGGCAGAGGGGGGUGGAAUUCCGCGUGUAGCAGUGAAAUGCGUAGAUAUGCGGAGGAACACCGAUGGCGAAGGCAACCCCCUGGGCCUGUACUGACGCUCAUGCUCGAAAGCGUGGGGAGCAAACA
Molecule: ribosomal RNA, 422 nt
Filed under: uncultured bacterium
Lineage: Bacteria
Description: partial 16S ribosomal RNA
Rfam family: Bacterial small subunit ribosomal RNA
Source: RNAcentral